CAAAAACCUCUCAGCAUUUAAUUUAUGUUGGUACUGGGCGUGAGGCAUGGGCUUAUGGCCCGCCUCCGCUUUAAACUUGCUGAACGACCGUAAGCUAUUGCUAGGUUUUAUGAAGUUGGUGUUUACAUUUUUUCAUAAUCUAGUGUUGGGGAGCGGCGUUAAACCUGAUGUCCAUUCGUGGACUGAA
RNAcentral lists this unclassified non-coding RNA (187 nucleotides) under uncultured Orbiliales. RNAcentral describes it as "sequence contains ITS2". The record is from RNAcentral. Lineage: Eukaryota; Fungi; Ascomycota; Orbiliomycetes; Orbiliales.